This 460-nucleotide ribosomal RNA is filed under the name uncultured bacterium. RNAcentral's name for it is "partial 16S ribosomal RNA". It matches the Rfam family "Bacterial small subunit ribosomal RNA", at positions 338 to 795 of the family's 1533-position model. The record is from RNAcentral.
CCUACGGGUGGCAGCAGUGAGGAAUAUUGGUCAAUGGUCGAGAGUCUGAACCAGCCAAGCCGCGUGAGGGAUGACUGCCCUAUGUGUUGUAAACUUCUUUUGUCAGGGAAUAAAGCCGGGUACGUGUACCCGCUUGACUGUACCAUAUGAAUAAGCAUCGGCUAACUCCGUGCCAGCAGCCGCGGUAAUUCGGAGGAUCCGAGCGUUAUCCGGAUUUAUUGGGUUUAAAGGGUGCGGAGGGGGGUUGGUCAAGCAGGUGUUAAAGGGUGGGGGUUAAACCGGACCGCGCAGUUGAAACUGGCAGUCUUGAGUAGAGGAGAGGUAUGCGGAAUUCGGGGUGUAGCGGUGAAAUGCAUAGAUAUCACGAAGAACUCCGAUUGCGAAGGCAGCAUACCGGAACGAAACUGACACUGAGGCACGAAAGCGUGGGUAUCAAACAGGAUUAGAUACCCGGGUAGUC